CCUACGGGGGGCUGCAAUGAGGAAUAUUGGUCAAUGGACGAGAGUCUGAACCAGCCAAGUAGCGUGAAGGAUGCCUGCCCUAUGGGUUGUAACCUUCUUUUAUAUGGGAAUAAAAUGUUCCACGUGUGGGGUUUUGUAUGUACCAUAUGAAUAAGGAUCGGCUAACUCCGUGCCAGCAGCCGCGGUCAUUCGGAGGAUCCGAGCGUUAUCCGGAUUUAUUGGGUUUAAAGGGAGCGUAGGUGGAUUGUUAAGUCAGUUGUGAAAGUUUGCGGGUCAACCGUAAAAUUGCAAUUGAUACUGGCAGUCUUGAGUACAGUUGAGGUAGGCGGAAUGCGUGGUGUAGCGGUGAAAUGCUUAGAUAUCACGAAGAACGCCGAGUGCGAAGGCAGCUUACUAAACUGCCACUGACAUUGAUGCUCGAAAGUGUGGGUAUCAAACAGGAUUAGAUACCCUUGUAGUC
Molecule: ribosomal RNA, 460 nt
Filed under: uncultured bacterium
Lineage: Bacteria
Description: partial 16S ribosomal RNA
Rfam family: Bacterial small subunit ribosomal RNA
Source: RNAcentral